CGAUUUGACCGAAUGACAUUUGGUUUGGUUUGGCAGUUCAAAGAGCAGACGUUUUCCAUGGGCUUCUACGUUUUUUAGCGAGAAAAUUGAAAAUUCAUACAUUUGUUUUGUGUUAAAAUUCGUCGUUGAUCGUUAGUGAUGGUGUCGUCACAGGUUAUUUACGCGGCGGUGCCGAUUUCAGUGAUCGUCGCUAUCGGCUUACUACGCAAAUGGAAGUCCAGGAGUUGGGCAAAGUGCUUGAGUAACACAUGCUUGAGGGGUAAAACAUUUAUCAUCACUGGGGCUAACAGUGGGAUAGGCCUGGAAACAGCCAAGGCACUGGUGCGGAGGAAGGCGCGAGUCAUAUUCGCAUGCCGCGAUAUCGCGAAGGCCAAACAGGCCAUCGCUGAUAUUAGGCGGGAGCAACCGAGUGGCGGCGAACUGAUUCCCAUGCAGCUAGACCUGUCAUCACUGGCAUCAAUAGAAAAUUUUGUUGAAGUCGUUAAAGCAGGCUUCUACAAGAUUGAUGUGCUCAUCAACAACGCUGGUGUGGUGAUACCAUUGAGCCAAGAUGAGAAGACUAAAGAAGGAUUUGAGGUGCACCUGGGAAUCAACCACUUGGGACACUUUCAUUUGACUAAUUUACUCCUGGAUUUGCUGAAGAGGGCUUCACCUAGUAGAAUCGUGGUAGUAUCAUCAACACUUCACGAGAAAGGAAAGAUAGAUUUCGAGGAUCUGAAUUUACGAUCUGAAAUUGAAAAUGCGAAGAAACGGAAGAGCGAUGCGCGUCACAACCCUGGCUACAGCAACUCAAAGCUGAUGAAUGCUUACUUCGUGAGGGCACUGGCAGACAGAUUGAGAGGAACCGGAAUCGAUGUCAACGCCUGCUGCCCAGGAUUCUGCUAUACUAACUUGUUCAGACAUUCAAUAAGAUGGUACCACUACGUUCUGAUGGCGCCAAUAUUCCUUCUCUUCAUGAGAUCGGCCAAACAAGGCUCCGAAACAGUUGUAUACUGCGCAACGGAUUACAGCAUCGAGGGCAACAGCGGCAAGUUCUAUCGGGACUGCGCAGAGUACGAAUCGAAAUACCCCUUCGACAAGGAGGUGGAAGUCAAGCUGUGGAACGUCAGUGAGGAGAUGAUCAAGGCCAGGAAACCCUUGUGAAUGACGACAGAAAUAUAACCCCUCUGAAUGAACUACACACCUCGCUGAUACGACCUUGACGCGCGGUGCCUACUUAAUUCACACGGGUUAUAAGGGUGUACAGUAGGAACGGGUAGAAUUUAGUGAAUGGGCCUUUAAAGUUCCAUAGAACCCCGGACGGGGCAACACCGCCCACAAAUAAUGUAGAAGCCGUGUAAAACGUCUCAUUUUAGACAUGAUUUUAUUUCCCCGUGCUAUGUUUUAGCAGUUAUUUUAUUUACUAACUUACAUGCUCUAAAGGUGUUCGUAUAAAAAAGACGAAGUACAAUGGUUGUAUGAAAUAAUUACAUUAAUUAAUAUUAAACAUAUUAAGGCUUAAAAGGCUUUCUUGAACUGCGUACUUAUACUAGAAAAUCAGUCUGAAAAUACGUACAUUAUAGAUAAUAUAAAAUUUUGUAAGAGUACAACUUUGUUUUUGUUGUAUCACUAGAACUACACGUAGUUUGAUGACGUCAAUACUGUUAUAAUUAUAUGAACAGACAGACAAACAGAACUAGAGGGCUAAAAGGCAACAUUGAAGCAAUUCAUCUAAAUAAGCAAUAUUGCAAUUUGACAUUUGCGCAUAUAAAAUUAAGUGCGCAGUGCAAAUAAAUGUCAAAUAGCAAUAUUGCUUUUUACGUGUAUUGCUUUGGUGUGGCCUUUUUACCCCACCGGGUUAUAAAAAAGGUCAUAAUUUUACAUUACAAAUGUAAAACUACCACGCGCCCUUGACCACUUUAUAAAGACAUCUUAUAGCUACUUAACACACAAAAUAAUUUAGAACGUAUGACUUAUUUGCAGUGCAAUAAAGUUUUAUUUCCCAUUGUUAUUAUAUGGUAUAUGGCUAGUAAGGUCCUUGCCGACGGGUGCUGUUUAAUUCCCAAAGACGGACAAAUGUUGUAUAUUAUAUUGAAUAUUUAAUUUUAUUAAACUUUAAUGGGUAUGA
RNAcentral lists this unclassified non-coding RNA (2107 nucleotides) under Pectinophora gossypiella (pink bollworm). Its description in RNAcentral is "retinol dehydrogenase 14-like". Lineage: Eukaryota; Metazoa; Arthropoda; Insecta; Lepidoptera; Gelechiidae. The record is from RNAcentral.